RNAcentral lists this ribosomal RNA (476 nucleotides) under Acrapex subalbissima. RNAcentral describes it as "partial 16S large subunit ribosomal RNA". Lineage: Eukaryota; Metazoa; Arthropoda; Insecta; Lepidoptera; Noctuidae. The record is from RNAcentral.
UGUCUUUUUGGAAAUAAUAUAAAGUCUAAUCUGCCCACUGAUUAAUAAAUUAAAGGGCUGCAGUAUAUUGACUGUACAAAGGUAGCAUAAUCAUUAGUCAUUUAAUUGAUGACUUGUAUGAAGGAUUGGAUGAGAUAUAAACUGUCUCUUAUUUAAUUAUAUAAUUUAAUUUUUUUAUUAAAAAGUUAAAAUAUUUUAAAAAGACGAGAAGACCCUAUAGAGUUUAAUAAAUAUUUAAGUUAAGAUUAUUUUGAGGUAUAAACUUGAAAUUUAACUAUUUAUUUUGUUGGGGUGAUAAAAAAAUAUAAAAAACUUUUUUUAAAAUAAUACAUUUAUAAGUGAUUAAAUGAUCCAAUAUUAUUGAUUAUAAGAAAAAAUUACCUUAGGGAUAACAGCGUAAUUUUUUUUUUUAGUUCAAAUAAGAAAAAGAGUUUGCGACCUCGAUGUUGGAUUAAGAUAAAAUUUAAAUGUAGAAG